Molecule: transfer RNA, 76 nt
Filed under: subsurface metagenome
Description: tRNA-Arg
Rfam family: tRNA
About the family: Transfer RNA (tRNA) molecules are approximately 80 nucleotides in length.
Source: RNAcentral
UGCGCCCGUAGCUCAUAGGAUAGAGCAUCGGUUUCCUAAACCGGGGGGUCGCAGGUUCGAGUCCUGCCGGGCGUAU